This 280-nucleotide long non-coding RNA is filed under the name Eucalyptus grandis. RNAcentral describes it as "long non-coding RNA (EGRA_LNC004410)". Lineage: Eukaryota; Viridiplantae; Streptophyta; Magnoliopsida; Myrtales; Myrtaceae. The record is from RNAcentral.
GCGGUCAUAAGAGGCAUAUAGUUCGAUCCAAAACUUUUUAAAAUGAUAAAUGGGGGGAGGCGACAUCAUUAUUAUAACAUCGAUAACCAUAUCAAAUAUAAAGAACACUUAAAAGACUCUUUGUCGAGUGAUGCGAAACAAUAGCUCGCCGGAAGAAAAUGAUUAUCGCUUAUACACCAGAAAGAAAAAUCCAUUCUCGAGCAAAUCUUAAACCAUCUUCCAUCCGGAAAACCUCCAUCGACAAUGGACGAGCCGUCGAUUCCUGCUCGGUCAAGCUAAC